UACGUAGGGUGCAGGCGUUAAUUGGAAUUACUGGGCGUAAAGCGUGCGCAGGCGGUCUAUUAAGACAGGUGUGAAAUCCCCGGGCUUAACCUGGGAACUGCGCUUGUAACUGAUAGGCUUGAGUGUGGCAGAGGGGGGUGGAAUUCCAGGUGUAGCAGUGAAAUGCGUAGAUAUCUGGAGGAACACCGAUGGCGAAGGCAGCCCCCUGGGCUAACACUGACGCUCAUGCACGAAAGCGUGGGGAGCAAACAGG
RNAcentral lists this ribosomal RNA (253 nucleotides) under uncultured bacterium. RNAcentral describes it as "partial 16S ribosomal RNA". It matches the Rfam family "Bacterial small subunit ribosomal RNA", at positions 524 to 776 of the family's 1533-position model. The record is from RNAcentral.